RNAcentral lists this transfer RNA (72 nucleotides) under Bos taurus (domestic cattle). It matches the Rfam family "tRNA". Rfam says of the family: Transfer RNA (tRNA) molecules are approximately 80 nucleotides in length. Their secondary structure includes four short double-helical elements and three loops (D, anti-codon, and T loops). Lineage: Eukaryota; Metazoa; Chordata; Mammalia; Artiodactyla; Bovidae. RNAcentral also lists the same sequence under 2 other names. The record is from Rfam by way of RNAcentral.
UCCCUGGCGGUCCAGUGGCUAAGACUCAGCGCUCCCAGUGCAGGGGUCCAGGUUCAAUCCCUGGCCGGGGAA